CUUCUCACGUACGUUUCUUCAAACCACCGUCUCUCUCUCUCUCUCUAUUCUUUUUCCAUUUUAUUUCAUCUUCCAUACACGCUCAUUAUUCACAUUCAUCUUCCACCACUUUCUCUCUCAUCUUGAUUUUAAGAAAAUACUGAUUCCAAUUUUAGGGUUCUUCCAUUCCAGUAUUGUUGAUUGCAUCUAUGGCGAUUUUCAGAAAACCCUCAUUCCUUUGGUUUAGGCGUUAAAAAUCUAUUCCUUUUAUCAUACGCUUUUGAGCGGAUGAUCUCUGUAACCAGACUUUCUUUUUUUACUUCUCCCCUUUUCUUUCAAUCAUCUUACAAUCACCAAAUCUAAACCUCAGCCGUAUCCUACUUUGGCGCCUUCAUAUGACAAUUUCAAAUACAUCGAUUUCAUCUUCAAAGAAACCAAGUAAGUUUAUAAAUGAAAUCUUGAAUGUGUUCAGAAAUUAGGGUUUUUUUUAUGAUGGUGAUGAUUAUGAUAAUAUGAGAACUUGGAAUUUGAUUCUUCAAUCUUGAUUCGUCUGAUUUUGUUUAUCUUUCACGUGCUUUAAACUGAGUUUGACGGGUCUGGUACUGGUAGUCGCCGGUGUGUUUGGUUUUGUUUGUUGGCUAUUGUUCUGAUUGAAGAAGGAUGAAGAGAAAGAAACACUUUGGUAGUUGCACCAUUAGAAAUUGCAAGUCAGUGAAACACUUUGGUAGUUACAUCUAUACUAUGCGAUUCUCAUCAAAGUGAUUAUCGAAACCCUAAAUUGGAACCAGUCGAGGCAAAUCUAGGUGGUGUUUGCAAUUGAAAAUCUUGCUAAAUUUCAAAACAAUAUGGCGAAUAGUCAUGUGAUUCUUCAACAAGAUCUGAAGGAUGUCAAACUAUGGCAGGUUCACACUCUGUUAAAGGGUUUAGAAAAUAUAGCUGCCAGUUCAGAUAUGCCAAUGUUAGUUUGUGGGGACUUUAAUUCUAUUCCUGGAAGUGCUCCUCAUGCGCUUUUAACAAUUGGGAAAGUUGACCCAUUGCAUCCUAAUUUAGUAGUUGACCCUCUCGGAAUUCUUCGUCCCACUACAAAGUUGACUCACACUCUGCCCUUGGAUAGUCGCAACAACGAGAAGUGGUUGUGCAUAUCUCCAAUGAACAAGAAGAAGAGGAUGUGCUUCUCUUUAGUCAAUAAGAAGAAGAGGUUGUGGUUCUCUUCAAUAUAGUUCAGCGGCAAAAGAAGAAUAAGAUGCCAGCAUCUUCAACAUAUAAGAAGAGAAAGGUUUGACAAGCGAAUCACGUCUUUUGCAGAAGAAAAGUUUCACAGAGAUCGUAAUAAUAUCUGAUGACAAGGGUGAUGGUUGUGAAAGUUUCGUAUAAAGAAAUUUCACCCAUGACCACAUACCGAUUCGACUCUUUGGAGUUUCAACUGGAUCCAUUGCUUAGAGCAACAUGUCAUGCUGAUGGUGAUGUUAAUUAUGAAACUGGCUAUUUUUCAUACCACCCUUGAAACAUAAACCAAGUAUAUUUCAGUUGAUUUUUGAGCUUGGUCCUUACAUUGAUGAGCUAUCAAAAAACUGGUGGCGCUAUAAAGGAGUUCGGUAACCCCAAGUAACUAAUUUUCUAUAUUUUCCCUAAUAUUCUAUAGGUUAUGAGUUUUGUUAGUUUGACCAUAAAUGUCAAAAUAGCGAUUCAAAAUCCUUACAUAAUCAAAUACAACGGAACUACUCAGUGACUAAAAUGUAUAUGGAGAAGGGACAGUUUGAAAGGAAUGUUUAAAGGAAAUGGCACCAAUUGUGCACGCAUCGUCCCAAACACUGUUGUCAGGUUCUUUAGCUAUGAAGAGGCAUCCAAGGGAAUCUUGGGCUAUAUCGACGGCAACCUGGAAAUGAGGAUACUGAACUCAUCCCUCUAUUACGCUCGGAGCUAGCGUUUGCGCUGGAAUAAUUGCCAUGUCAACAACCUUCUUAUAAUGGACUUGGUUCGACGAUGUCUUACUGUCAAGGCACUCUGGGCGCGCGCCUAGGCGCUCAGUCGAGACAAGGCAAGGGUAAAGCGCCUGGUGGUGACCAAAGUGACCAUCUGCAACUUUCUUAAGAAAGCAAAGCUCAGGCGCUCAGCCUGGUGCCAGGCACAGGCGCAAAGAGGCGAUGGUUUCAAACAAAUUAGGCGCCAUUUGAUUUUUCAGACCAAGAAUCUGCAGAAAAGACUUAUAAAUCUCCUAGCCACUAGCAAGUAUGGAGGAAUUGCACAUGCUCUUGCUACAGUACUCCGUGAAGAAGGCUUGCAUGCAUUAUACAAAGGAUGGCUUCCUUCUAUCAUUAGUGUUAUCUUUAGCUGUUGGUUUGAUGGUUUACAACUGAGACGAACACUAGCUAACUGAUGUAGGGUUUCGGAAAUGGUCGGAUGUCCAGUUUUGGUUCCGGCAACUCCGAUGCAGGUCUGUAGUCAAAUUUUUAAACCACAACAUUGGUCUGAACAAUAGAUUUGAUUGUUUGGGAUGAUAGCCCUCAUAGGGUUUCUGUGAUUGGGGUUAAAUGUAGUGCAACAACAUGACAACGGCAGUGGCAAGCUAGGGUUUGUUUACUUUUAUUAGUGAGUGGUUCGACUGAAGAUGCUUUGCUGAAGCGAUAGCAAAUCAUUAGUUAGAAGUUGAUCGUUGCUUCAUGGAAGUCAAUUGGCAAAGGUACAUAAAAAGUCCAUCUUAUCAUGUCAAGAAAAGUGUUUACGGGUCAAUUCAACCCGGUACAACCUAUUUUAAUAUGUAUUAGAAAAUGACUAUUUCUAACCUGUCAAGUGACCGCCCCGUCCAUCUUACCACCUCUCCUAAAACUAAAUAUGCUAAUAUCACAAAUUACUCUUUCAAUGAUAUUACACUUCCAACUAAAAUUCAUUUAUCCUCUAUGCAGUUAGUGCGGUAAAAUAUCGGAUAUCUUGACCGAAUUUGAGAUAUAGGUUAUCUCGGAGAGAUAUUGGUGGGGUAUGGUGAUUUUAAUAUAAUAAGGAAUUUAUAUAUAUAGCAAUUUAACACUAAUAAUUGAGUGAUAUAUCGGCUAUAUCGGUCAAACAUCGGUGAUAUCGGUCAAUAUCGCCUAUAAUAUCAGUACCGAUAUUUUGACUGAUAUUUUACUAGAGGACCGAUAUGACCGAUUUAACCGAUAUUAACUGCAUAGCUUAUCCUUUAAUAUUGUUUUUUUUUUUUGAAUUUAGCCUUUCUACAACCUGGGAAGUUUUUUAUUUUCAAACGUAGAACUCAUUAUUGUGUAGUAGGAUAAAGGGGGUGUUUGAAUAUGUUGGUGUGAAGCAAAUUUCUCAUUGGUAUCACUGAACCUAAAAAGAUUUGCAUCCUUGCUGAAAGGGUACUUCUUUCCUUUUUGUAUUUAUCUUGGGCGUUUCAUUCGUUGAUUUCAAGUAAUUAAAAUAUGUGUUGCAUUUGAUUGAAAAAAUAAUAAUGUCACUUUGUUUUGCGCAAUCUUUGUGGCAAUUAAUUUCACAGUGGUGCAAGAUACCCUCAUUUUAUGCUUUCCGUGUGAAGGAUUUGUUAGGAAUGCACAGGUACUUCAAAGUGUCGAAGAAGAAAGCGAGUACAUGCUAUCGUUUUAUAAUUAUUGUUUUUCGUCAUACCUAUUUAUAAUUACAUUUGAUGAGUUAUCAUUUUGAAUCAUUUAAAUGUCAAUUUUUUUUCUUUUGUUGCGGCAGUCUAUGAACGUUGUGUUGUAAUUCGGGUCGUGAUAAAACUGUGCGUACAUGUUUGGUCUACUUUGUACACAUAUUGUAUAUAACACACGUACAGUGGGGUUAUGGGUUUCGAGCCACGGUGGUUGUGGUCUAUAGACACCGAUCUGUGGCAAAUGGGCUUGGUCAUGUAAUGGGUCAUAAAAAGAAAUAAACCCGAUGAGCCGAAGCCAUAACGUCCAAGUCACAUUUCAUAUUCAUUUAUUUUAAUUAAGUGUAAUUUUAUAUUUA
Molecule: long non-coding RNA, 3939 nt
Organism: Helianthus annuus (common sunflower)
Lineage: Eukaryota; Viridiplantae; Streptophyta; Magnoliopsida; Asterales; Asteraceae
Exons: 16
Source: RefSeq, a predicted model, not a curated record